This 253-nucleotide ribosomal RNA is filed under the name uncultured bacterium. RNAcentral describes it as "partial 16S ribosomal RNA". It matches the Rfam family "Bacterial small subunit ribosomal RNA", at positions 524 to 776 of the family's 1533-position model. The record is from RNAcentral.
UACAGAGGGGGCAAGCGUUGUUCGGAAUUACUGGGCGUAAAGGGCGCGUAGGCGGCCUGCUAAGUCGAACGUGAAAUCCCUGGGCUCAACCCAGGAACUGCGUCCGAUACUGGUUGGCUUGAAUCCGGGAGAGGGAUGUGGAAUUCCAGGUGCAGCGGUGAAAUGCGUAGAUAUCAAGAGGAACACCUGCGGCGAAGGCGGGUUGCUGGGCCGACACUGACGCUGAGGCGCGAAAGCGAGGGGAGCGAACGGG